This 2042-nucleotide ribosomal RNA is filed under the name Leptoclinides madara. RNAcentral describes it as "SSU rRNA". It matches the Rfam family "Eukaryotic small subunit ribosomal RNA". The record is from RNAcentral. Lineage: Eukaryota; Metazoa; Chordata; Ascidiacea; Aplousobranchia; Didemnidae.
GCUCGUUUCAAAGGCUAAGCCAUGCAAGUGCUAGCACAAGCCUUCACGAAAAGGCGAAGCCGUGAACGGCUCAUUACAUCAGUUGCGAUACGAAUGCACGUGGGCACAGCGUGCCGCCACUUGGAUAACUGUGGCAAUUCUACAGCUAAUACAUGCAAAAAGCGCCGACUUCGGAAGGCGUGCACUUAUCAGCACGACUCGGCAUAAACUCUUGUCGAAACUGGAUAACGUUGAAGAUCGCGCGGCGUCAAGCCGGCGACAAUGCAUUUUGAACGUCUGACCUAUCAACUAUUGUCGGUAAGGUCUCGGCCUACCGAGGUGCUUACAGGUGACGGGGAAUCAGGGUUUGAUUCCGGAGAGGAAGCACGAGAAACGGCUGCCACGUCUAAGGACGGCAGCAGGCGCGCAAAUUACCCAUUAUCAGGAAUGAUGAGGUAGUGACGAAAAAUAACGAUGCGGGACUCCACGAGAGCAUCCGCAAUCGAAAUGAGCGCAGCUCAAACGAUUGUUGACACGAAUACUAUUGCAGCCCGCGGACAUUGGACGCGCGGCGAGCAUUGGAGUGCGGCGAGUAUCGAUUGGAGGGCAAGUCUGGUGCCAGCAGCCGCGGUAAUUCCAGCUCCAAAAGUGUAUGCUUACAUUGUUGCGGUUAAAAAGCUCGUAUUUGGAAACACAAAGAGCGACCCCGACGCGAGCCGUGCACCAGCGGUGUUGCGACGUCGGGGGAAAACGGCGUUUGGAGGGAUCUCGGCAAACGAAUCCAGACCGUCGUGGCAAUCGCGGCGGCUGCACUUGACUGUGUGGUCGCGUACCGAUUGACCGAAAGAAACAUUGAUGAAACCAAAACGUUCAUAUGAGAUUGACGUUUUGCUGUCCGCGUCGCGGCGAAAGCCCGACCGGGCACACAUUGAAUGACGUUGCAUUGAAUAGCAGAAGACGGCCGCGGCUCUGCCGCCGGCGUCGAGAGCAGCGCGUGGCAAUGAUCGAGAAGGACGAACGGGGGCAUUCGUACUGUGCCGGGAGAGGUGAAAUUCAGAGAUCCGUGCAGACGAACCGAAGCGAAGGCGUCUGCCAAGGACGUUUUCCUUAAUCAAGAGCGAAAGUCAGAGGAUUCAAGACGAUCAGAUACCGUCGUAAUUCUGACUGUAAACGAUGCCGACCGCGUCGACGUUCACAACGACUAUAAGAGGCUCGCCGAUGCGGGUCUACGAUGGCGGAGCGUCGGCGCCGGGAGGGAAACCGGAGUCUUCGGGUUCCGGGGGAAGUAUGGUUGCAAAGCUGAAACUUAAAGGAAUUGACGGAAGGGCACCACCAGGAGUGGAGCCUGCGGCUUAAUUUGACUCAACGCUGAAAAACUCACCUGGCCAAGACGUGACGAGGAUUGACAGAUUGAAAGCUCUUUCUCGAUUUUACGGAUGGUGGUGCAUGGCCGUUCUUAGUCCGUGGAGCGAUUCGUCUGGUCGAUUCCGAUAACGAACGAGACUCGCCUCUGCUAAUGAGAAGGCACGCCGCCUGCAAAGGGGCGCUGUCUUGCCGGCGAAGAUUGACGACGACAGGCUCGGACCCUACGGGUCGGGUCGAACGAAAUGAACGUGAAAAACGAAAAGUCUUCUUAGAGACAUGAGCGGCGGUAAGCCGCAAGAGAUCGAGCGAUAACAGGUCUGUGAUGCCCUUAGAUGUCUGGGGCCGCACGCGCGCUACAAUGGACGAGCCAGUCGGAAGAGCGAUGGCCGUUCGCGUGCGAACGGGUCGAAAACCCGGCUUGGUAAAGCCCGGGAAAACUGAAAAAUUCGGCCAUGAUCGGGACAGAUACUUGCAAUUGUUUCUCUCGAACGAGGAAUUCCGAGUAGGCGCGAGUCAUCAUCUCGCGUCGACUACGUCCCUGCCCUUUGUACACACCGCCCGUCGCUACUACCGAUUGAGCGUCCUAGUGAGGUCGCCGGAGCGAACGGGGCAGAAGCGGCCUCGCGGCCGUCGACGCCUCGAUCUCGAAGACGAUCGAACUCGGUUGCUUAGAGGAAGUAAAAGUCGUAACAAGGUUU